CCUACGGGAGGCAGCAGUGAGGAAUAUUGGUCAAUGGACGAGAGUCUGAACCAGCCAAGUAGCGUGAAGGAUGACUGCCCUAUGGGUUGUAAACUUCUUUUAUAUGGGAAUAAAACGUUCCACGUGUGGGAUUUUGUAUGUACCAUAUGAAUAAGGAUCGGCUAACUCCGUGCCAGCAGCCGCGGUAAUACGGAGGAUCCGAGCGUUAUCCGGAUUUAUUGGGUUUAAAGGGAGCGUAGGUGGAUUGUUAAGUCAGUUGUGAAAGUUUGCGGCUCAACCGUAAAAUUGCAGUUGAAACUGGCAGUCUUGAGUACAGUAGAGGUGAGCGGAAUUCGUGGUGUAGCGGUGAAAUGCUUAGAUAUCGCGAAGAACUCCGAUUGCGAAGGCAGUUCACUGGACUGCAACUGACACUGAGGCUCGAAAGUGUGGGUAUCAAACAGGAUUAGAUACCCUAGUAGUC
Molecule: ribosomal RNA, 460 nt
Filed under: uncultured bacterium
Lineage: Bacteria
Description: partial 16S ribosomal RNA
Rfam family: Bacterial small subunit ribosomal RNA
Source: RNAcentral